UAGAGUUUGAUCCUGGCUCAGGAUGAGCGCUGGCGGCGUGCCUAAUACAUGCAAGUCGAGCGGUAAGGCCUCUUCGGAGGUACACGAGCGGCGGACGGCUGAGUAACACGUAGGAACGUACCCCAAAGUGAGGGAUAACUGCUCGAAAGAGUAGCUAAUACCGCAUGUGAUCCACGGAUUAAAGCUUUAUGCGCUUUGGGAACGGCCUGCGUUCGAUUAGCUUGUUGGUAGUGUAAUGGACUACCAAGGCGACGAUCGAUAGCUGGUCUGAGAGGAUGAUCAGCCAGACUGGGACUGAGACACGGCCCAGACUCCUACGGGAGGCAGCAGUAGGGAAUUUUCCACAAUGGGCGAAAGCCUGAUGGAGCAACGCCGCGUGCAGGAUGAAUGCCUUAGGGUUGUAAACUGCUUUUAUUAGUGACGAUUAUGACGGUAACUAAUGAAUAAGGACCUGCUAACUACGUGCCAGCAGCCGCGGUCAUACGUAGGGUCCAAGCGUUAUCCGGAAUUACUGGGCGUAAAGAGUUGCGUAGGUGGCAUAGUAAGUAGAUAGUGAAAGCGUGUGGCUCAACCAUACAUCCAUUAUCUAAACUGCUAAGCUUGAAGAUGAGAGAGGUAGAUGGAAUUCCUGAUGUAGGGGUAAUAUCCGUAGAUAUUAGGAGGAACACCGAUGGCGUAGGCAGUCUACUGGCUCAUUCUUGACACUAAGGCACGAAAGCGUGGGGAGCAAACAGGAUUAGAUACCCUGGUAGUCCACGCCGUAACUAUGGAUGCUAGCUGUAAGCCGUAUCGACCCGGCUUGUAGCGAAGCUAACGCGUUAAGCAUCCCGCCUGUGGAGUACGGUCGCAAGACUAAAACAUAAAGGGAAU
This 870-nucleotide ribosomal RNA is filed under the name uncultured bacterium. RNAcentral describes it as "bacterial SSU rRNA". It matches the Rfam family "Bacterial small subunit ribosomal RNA", at positions 1 to 911 of the family's 1533-position model. The record is from RNAcentral.